This 497-nucleotide ribosomal RNA is filed under the name uncultured bacterium. Its description in RNAcentral is "partial 16S ribosomal RNA". It matches the Rfam family "Bacterial small subunit ribosomal RNA", at positions 28 to 507 of the family's 1533-position model. The record is from RNAcentral.
GAUGAACGCUGGCGGCGUGCCUAAUACAUGCAAGUCGAGCGAACAGACGAGGAGCUUGCUCCUCUGACGUUAGCGGCGGACGGGUGAGUAACACGUGGAUAACCUACCUAUAAGAAUGGGAUAACUUCGGGAAAACGGAGCUAAUACCGGAUAAUAUAUUGAACCGCAUGGUUCAAUAGUGAAAGACGGUUUUGCUGUCACUUAUAGAUGGAUCCGCGCCGCAUUAGCUAGUUGGUAAGGUAACGGCUUACCAAGGCAACGAUGCGUAGCCGACCUGAGAGGGUGAUCGGCCACACUGGAACUGAGACACGGUCCAGACUCCUACGGGAGGCAGCAGUAGGGAAUCUUCCGCAAUGGGCGAAAGCUUGACGGAGCAACGCCGCGUGAGUGAUGAAGGUCUUCGGAUCGUAAAACUCUGUUAUUAGGGAAGAACAAAUGUGUAAGUAACUAUGCACGUCUUGACGGUACCUAAUCAGAAAGCCACGGCUAACUACGUG